GAUGAACGCUGGCGGCGUGCCUAAUACAUGCAAGUCGAGCGAACGGACGAGAAGCUUGCUUUUCUGAUGUUAGCGGCGGACGGGUGAGUAAAACGUGGAUAACCUACCUAUAAAACUGGGAUAACUUCGGGAAACCGGAGCUAAUAGCGUAUAAUAUUUUGAACCGCAUGGUUCAAAAGUGAAAGACGGUCUUGCUGUCACUGAUGGAUGGAUCCGCGCGGCAUUAGCUAGUUGGUAAGGUAACGGCUUACCAAGGCAACGAUGCAUAGCCGACCUGAGAGGGUGAUAGGACACACAGGAACUGAGACACGGUCAGGACUACUAUGGGAGGCAGGACUACCGACCCUCCCGCAACGGGCGGAAGCCUGAAGGAGCAACGCACCGUGACUGAUGACGGUCCCCGCAUCGUUAACCUCCGCUAUCAGGGAAGAACAUAUGUGUAAGUAACAGUGCACACCUCGACGGUACCUAAUCAGAAAGCUACGGCUAACGCCGUG
RNAcentral lists this ribosomal RNA (497 nucleotides) under uncultured bacterium. Its description in RNAcentral is "partial 16S ribosomal RNA". It matches the Rfam family "Bacterial small subunit ribosomal RNA", at positions 28 to 507 of the family's 1533-position model. The record is from RNAcentral.